Non-coding RNA from Lentinula aciculospora, 99 nucleotides. The record is from the annotation of a GenBank genome assembly. Lineage: Eukaryota; Fungi; Basidiomycota; Agaricomycetes; Agaricales; Omphalotaceae.
GCUUCCUUAGCUCAGUCGGUAGAGCGCGAGUCUCAUAGCUAUGAGGAGCGAUUUGCUUUCAUAAUCUCGAGGUCGCAAGUUCGAGCCUUGCAGGGAGCA